Long non-coding RNA from Anneissia japonica, 162 nucleotides. RefSeq lists it as uncharacterized. The record is from RefSeq and is a predicted model, not a curated record. NCBI's taxonomy places the organism in Eukaryota, Metazoa, Echinodermata, Crinoidea, Comatulida, Comatulidae. The transcript is spliced from 2 exons.
GCAACAAGUGGACUAGCCCUGCUUGGCUGAAUGGGGAAUUUUGCUUCCUCUACUGAAUGAAUGUGGCAACUGAUUUGGCAAUUGAAGCUUUCUAUUUCAAAUAAAUAUUCUUUGUAAUUCAGUAUCGUUUUGGAAAUAUUUUGAAUAAAUAUUCAUUGUAUU